UUUACCCGCUGAAUUAAGCAUAUCAAUAAGCGGAGGAAAAGAAACCAACAAGGAUUCCCCUAGUAACUGCGAGUGAAGCGGGAAAAGCUCAAAUUUAAAAUCUGGCGGUCUUUGGCCGUCCGAGUUGUAGUCUGGAGAAGUGCUUUCCGCGCUGGACCGUGUACAAGUCUCUUGGAACAGAGCGUCAUAGAGGGUGAGAAUCCCGUCUUUGACACGGACUACCAGUGCUUUGUGAUGCGCUCUCAAAGAGUCGAGUUGUUUGGGAAUGCAGCUCAAAAUGGGUGGUAAAUUCCAUCUAAAGCUAAAUAUUGGCGAGAGACCGAUAGCGAACAAGUACCGUGAGGGAAAGAUGAAAAGCACUUUGGAAAGAGAGUUAAACAGUACGUGAAAUUGCUGAAAGGGAAACGCUUGAAGUCAGUCGCGUCGGCCAGGACUCAGCCUUGCUUUUUUGCUUGGUGCAUUUUCUGGUUGACGGGCCAGCAUCGAUUUUGACCGCUGGAAAAAGGCCAGGGGAAUGUGGCACCUUCGGGUGUGUUAUAGCCCUUAGUCACAUACAGUGGUUGGGAUCGAGGACCGCAGCACGCCUUUAUGGCCGGGGUUCGCCCACGUUCGUGCUUAGGAUGCUGGCGUAAUGGCUUUAAACGACCCGUCUUG
RNAcentral lists this ribosomal RNA (654 nucleotides) under Rhodofomitopsis feei. RNAcentral's name for it is "eukaryotic LSU rRNA". It matches the Rfam family "Eukaryotic large subunit ribosomal RNA", at positions 21 to 656 of the family's 3401-position model. The record is from RNAcentral. Lineage: Eukaryota; Fungi; Basidiomycota; Agaricomycetes; Polyporales; Fomitopsidaceae.